This is a long non-coding RNA of Oncorhynchus kisutch (coho salmon), 982 nucleotides long. RefSeq lists it as uncharacterized. Lineage: Eukaryota; Metazoa; Chordata; Actinopteri; Salmoniformes; Salmonidae. The record is from RefSeq and is a predicted model, not a curated record. The transcript is spliced from 3 exons.
AAUUUGAACAAUCUGGCGACACAGCUGACCGCCGACGUCCACGCACUCUCUCCGCCAACCACCCUGGCAUUUGAAUCAGAGAGGUGCGGGGGGCUGCCUUAAUCGACAACUAUGUCUUCGAUGCCCGGAGAACAGUGGGUUAACUGCCUCGCUCAGGGGAAGAACGGCACUCUGUUCACAACAUUGACAUCAGCAAACCGCCAACCCAUGUGACGUGGGAUUAAUCCUUUAAGAGCACACUUCUUCAGCGUGCCAGUAGCCAUUGAAGGCGAGCAUUUUCCCUCAGGUCAACCUGACGUUUUACCAGGCAGGGGCACACAAAGUACGUUCUAAGCAGUGCAGUACCACUCAGAGCAGUUUGGUCUCUACAAGGGUUCAUCGAGAUGGAAAUACAGGUGUGUGGCCGAAGUUAGGGUGUUUGAUCCACGUCACAUUGCAUUUAUGGAUGACCGAGUGUCCAGCUACAAGGCUAUUCCAGGCUUCAGUAAGGUACCAAGAGAUGAAUGCCUACUUGACCAAUGCAGGACCAGCAGCACUUAGAGCCACAGUGAGUGGGGUGGUGGAUUUGGAUAUCUUCUGGGAUGGACUUCAAGAGAGACUUCCUGUGCUGAGCACCCUGGCCAAACGCUACAAAGAUGCAGUCUCAAACUCAGCUGAUGCUGAGCGAAGCAACAGUAUCUAUAAGCUUGUGUUGUCCAGCCAUAGGCGGUCAACCUCUAACAAUCUACGAUCCUUGGUCUUCAUGUACCACAACCAACAACUCUGCAGUGGAGGAAUUGAUAUGGAGGAGGGUAGGGAAGAUGAAAUGGAGGAUUACAUUGAGAUAUAGGCCUAGAUGAGCUAUGAAAUAGUCACCAACCCUCCUCUAGUUAUGUUCAGAAAAAGAGCUGUGUUUGUUCAAAAAAAUAAACAGCCCAAAAGAUCACUUUGUCUUAAAUAUCACUUUUUUUCUUGGUAAAAUAGCCCUUACACAGCCUGGAGG